CUACACAUGUCUAAUGACUCACAUUUCCCGAGGAGAGGGAUUGACCAUCGCUGGAGCCAAUUAUGGCACAACAAGGGAAUACUAUUUUAGUAAGCCUUGACCUCUAAAAAAGAGAAAGUUUAUGUCACAACCCAAAUUCUGGGUGACCCAGAAUCUGACCUAUGACCCUAAGGGUUCCUCCUAAUCCAAACUAGCAUUCAACUAAAACGUCCUAAUUUUUUUUUAAACAUAAAUCACAACAAAGCUUCCUGCAACUAACAUUCCAACUUAUAAAAGUACAAUAACUACUUAAAAACAACAAGCAAUUUAAUAUCAAUAAGAUCUCUAACCAAAGUCUAACAAGAGUGUCCGCAAUAGAGUAAGUUUAAUUCAAAAUACAGUCUAUAAACGAUUACAUAAUUUAAAAAUCUAUUAGCACAUGUUCUAAUAACCCAACACAAUCAAGGAUAACAAAAUCCUCUAAGCUCCUCCAAAAUCUCCUAGGGCAUCCUCAAGCCCUCCUUGCUCCACUUAUUGAUCAUCAGGAGUUACAUCUGCAUCUAAAAAGAUUUAAGAAGGAAUGAGUGAGCAUUCCACAUUGCUUAAUAGGGUGCCUUACAUCCAAGGGGUUAGUUGGGAUUACUAAGGUUCAAGUGAACACAAAAUAAAUAUUCCACCAUAAUUGAUCAACCCAAGUAUUUUAAUUUCUAUAAUUAUAACAAUUCAACUAUUUUUAACAAUUAAAUAAAAUGCAUGUGGAUAUGUGACACACAGUCAUACCAUGCAUUGUCGUUCUCGGGCUUUCACCAAAGGAUAUGCAUCCGUACCCAAAUACACUCCCCAUUCAGAGUAUUCUUGGGAUAGAUUUUUGGGUUUUUCACCCUAGGGAUCUCAUCCCUUUCUUAAUUCGUCUCUCAAGGGCCUUUGCUUUUCACUACUAUUUUAUUUUUCUUUCUUUUUUUCAUUUCAUGCACCUUUCACAUUUUUUAUUUUUCCUUCACACAACCAUGAUGCAUAUGAAAUGCCAUAGGAUUAAUUAUCCUCAAUCACAAGUAUCACAAAUAUCAGAUAACAUUCCCACUAAUUCAAAUACCAAUAAAAUUACAAUUUAUACCAUGAUUUCAUUAUUUCUCAACAAUCCCAAUAAUUCCCACAAUCAAACAAAAAUAUUUCUCCACAAUUAAAUUACCAAAAACAACCAAAUAAAUUCUCAAUAAUUCAAAUAUCAAUUAAACAUAAUUUCUAUCAAAAUUCCAUUAUUUCUCAACAAUUCCAAUAAUUCCAACAAUCAAACACAAUUAUUUCUCUAUAAUUAAAUUACCAAAGACAACCAAAUAAAUUCUUAAUAAUUCAAAUAUCAAUUAAACAUAAUUUCCAUCAAAAUUCCAUUAUUUCUCAACAAUCCCAAUAAUUCCAACAAUCAAACACAAUUAUUUUUCAUAAUUAAACACUUCCAUUAUCACACAAAAAUCCCAAGGAAAAUUCCGAAAUCACCCAAUAAAAUUUCUUGUAUCUGUAUCAUAAAUAUUACCUAUUUAACUUCCAACAAAGAGAUUUAUAAUUUUUUUGAAAGAAAAAAACAUUAAAUAAAAGUUUUAGGGUUAAGUCUCCUUACCACUGAUCUAUCAAUCCAAUCAUUGAAAAUGAAAUCUGCCACCGUAGGAAUGUUCCUCACAUCGAGUAGAACUUUCCCUCAAAAUUUCACGUGAAAUGGACGACAUUUGGUCAUCCAAAUGGCCGACCAAGGAAUGACAACAUCACUUUCCCCUGCAACCGUGAGCCACUACCAUUUCUCUUUUCU
RNAcentral lists this long non-coding RNA (1780 nucleotides) under Vitis vinifera (wine grape). Its description in RNAcentral is "long non-coding RNA (VVIN_LNC002220)". Lineage: Eukaryota; Viridiplantae; Streptophyta; Magnoliopsida; Vitales; Vitaceae. The record is from RNAcentral.